Molecule: non-coding RNA, 973 nt
Organism: Megalopta genalis
Lineage: Eukaryota; Metazoa; Arthropoda; Insecta; Hymenoptera; Halictidae
Source: RefSeq, a predicted model, not a curated record
CAAUAUAAUCGAUAAAAAUUUAAUUACGCGGAAUGUGGUACAUAUGCUUAGUACAGUUUAGUAUGGUAGCUUAGUAUGGUACCAUACUUAGUAUAGUUUAUUAACUGUAUACCCUCUAUGUUGAUUUACAUUGUUCUUUUGUCGGUGCUGACGAUUCCUCUUUAUCUGACUGUAAUACAGUAUCUCCUGUUAUAAAACAUAAACAUCUUGCUUCAACCACUGUCAGUAAGUAGGUAUGUAAAUAAAAUAUUCCAACGAUGCCUUUGGUUCAACAGAAGAAAAUUACAAAAGCCACUGAAAAGAGAUUAAAGUAAUAUGAGGCACUGUUAAACAAAAUAAUCAAAGGUUCAAUAAAAAAUGAGCAGUCUGUAAAAUGAAUCUAUUCGCUCUGAUAAAGAGCAAAGAAGAGAAUUAAAACUUAUAAAGAAAACAGAAAUAUAACAAACAGUACUAAUGUAACGCUGGAAGAAGGUUUGUGACAUAUUUGAUAAUAUUUAAUGUAUUCUGAUUUAUGUCACUGUUAUUUAAGAAGAAUAUCUACAACAAAAGAAAUGAUACAUAUUUUUCUGUAUUUCUCCUUUAUUUAUCAUACUGUUCUAUACUUUAUUCUCAUCUUUUCAUACUCUUAAUACAUAUCGCUCAUUACAACUUUCAAUAUCUGUGCAUAACAUUGCUUCUAUGAUAUAAGGAGAUUAGAACUCACAGUUUGAUCAGUAAUUAUGCUUUUUUGCUCUUUAAUCGAUGUAUCUGUUCAGGAACUGCAAUAAGUGAGUUAUUGUUAAUACAUUGUUACGUUUUCCCAUUGACUCAAAUGGUUCUUGAGUUACCAUACCUUUUUUCUUCUUCCCAGUAGAUCGCAUUCUACUCCAUCUCACAUGAAGGGACAUAGGAAGUGUUGGUCUCUCUACACAACCAGAGUAGUCUUUUACUGUAAUAAAAUCCACUUGUUUAAAUAAUUCGAACUUACCAAAAG